Molecule: ribosomal RNA, 460 nt
Filed under: uncultured bacterium
Lineage: Bacteria
Description: partial 16S ribosomal RNA
Rfam family: Bacterial small subunit ribosomal RNA
Source: RNAcentral
CCUACGGGGGGCAGCAGUGAGGAAUAUUGGUCAAUGGCCGUAAGGCUGAACCAGCCAAGUCGCGUGAGGGAAGACUGCCCUAUGGGUUGUAAACCUCUUUUAUGCGGGGAUAAAGGUGUCCACGUGUGGAUGUUUGCAGGUACCCUAUGAAUAAGGAUCGGCUAAUUCCGUGCCAGCAGCCGCGGUAAUACGGAGGGUUCGGGCGUUAUCCGGAUUUAUUGGGUUUAAAGGGUGCGUAGGCUGGUCUUUAAGUCAGCCGGGAAAGUUUGUGGCUCAACCAUAAAAGUGCCGUUGAAACUGGAGGCCUUGAGUGGGCGGGAGGUAGGCGGAAUUCGUGGUGUAGCGGUGAAAUGCUUAGAUAUCACGCAGAACCCCGAUUGCGAAGGCAGCCUACCGAGGCAUAACUGACGCUGAAGCACGAAAGCGCGGGUAUCGAACAGGAUUAGAUACCCCAGUAGUC